GACGAACGCUGGCGGCGUGCUUAACACAUGCAAGUCGAACGGAAAGGCCCUGCUUGCAGGGUACUCGAGUGGCGAACGGGUGAGUAACACGUGGGUGAUCUGCCCUGCACUUCGGGAUAAGCCUGGGAAACUGGGUCUAAUACCGGAUAGGAGCCAUUUUUAGUGUGAUGGUUGGAAAGUUUUUUCGGUGUAGGAUGAGCUCGCGGCCUAUCAGCUUGUUGGUGGGGUAAUGGCCUACCAAGGCGGCGACGGGUAGCCGGCCUGAGAGGGUGGACGGCCACAUUGGGACUUAGGUACGGCCCAGACUCCUACGGGAGGGAGCAGUGGGGAAUAUUGCACCAUGGGCGCAAGCCUGGUGCAGCCACGCCGCGUUGGGGAUGACGGGCCUCGGGUUGUAAACUCCUUUCGCUAGGGACGAAGCUUUUUGUGACGGUACCUAGAUAAGAAGCACCGGCUAACUACGUG
This 465-nucleotide ribosomal RNA is filed under the name uncultured bacterium. RNAcentral describes it as "partial 16S ribosomal RNA". It matches the Rfam family "Bacterial small subunit ribosomal RNA", at positions 28 to 507 of the family's 1533-position model. The record is from RNAcentral.